RNAcentral lists this ribosomal RNA (253 nucleotides) under uncultured bacterium. RNAcentral describes it as "partial 16S ribosomal RNA". It matches the Rfam family "Bacterial small subunit ribosomal RNA", at positions 524 to 776 of the family's 1533-position model. The record is from RNAcentral.
UACGUAGGCAGCAAGCGUUGUUCGGAAUUACUGGGCGUAAAGAGUGUGUAGGCGGUGCUCUAAGUCUGUUGUGAAAUCUCCCGGCUUAACUGGGAGGGUGCGGCGGAAACUGGAGUGCUAGAGGAUGGGAGAGGUAAGCGGAAUUCCUGGUGUAGCGGUGAAAUGCGUAGAUAUCAGGAGGAGCACCUGUGGUGUAGACAGCUUACUGGACCAUUUCUGACGCUGAGACACGAAAGCGUGGGUAGCAAACAGG